Molecule: unclassified non-coding RNA, 524 nt
Filed under: Hevea brasiliensis (rubber tree)
Lineage: Eukaryota; Viridiplantae; Streptophyta; Magnoliopsida; Malpighiales; Euphorbiaceae
Source: RNAcentral
GAAAUAGUCAACUUUUAGUAUCAAAUGUCUCAUUCAUUCUUUCAUUUGAGAAUGAAUGCGAUAAGACAAAGAAACCUUUUCUUCUGAUGAUGAUACACAUGAACCUAAAAUCUAUACUGCAGCCCGUUUCAUAAACAUUCAUCUAGAGGGUUUUUUAUUUCGUUUCUUGGCAUUCUUCACAAGUGCAUCACAAAUCUCCCUUUUUCUUCCGGAGGCAGCACUAAUAUUAGGGUUAGUAGCAGCAACAUUGGCUGAGUUACUGUUGUCACCUUUGCUUGAACUCUUACCAUCAACUUCUAAUGCAUCCUUGGUGAAGAAUUUUAGCCUCCAUAGUGUCAAUUCGCUCUGGGCAUCUAUGUCAAGUUCCACCUCUUCUGCUGAAGCUGGAAAUAGUGGGUUAUUUUGUGCUACUAUCUCCAGUGCCUUACUAAGAUCAUCAGGAGAUAACUUCGUGAGAGCUAUCCCUAGAUUUCUCUUCUCCUCUAUUGAUAUUUUCCUGCAUCUUCUGACCACCAUCUCUCUGA